AUUGAACGCUGGCGGCAGGCUUAACACAUGCAAGUCGAGCGGGGGAAGGUAGCUUGCUACUGGACCUAGCGGCGGACGGGUGAGUAAUGCUUAGGAAUCUGCCUAUUAGUGGGGGACAACAUCUCGAAAGGGAUGCUAAUACCGCAUACGUCCUACGGGAGAAAGCAGGGGAUCUUCGGACCUUGCGCUAAUAGAUGAGCCUAAGUCGGAUUAGCUAGUUGGUGGGGUAAAGGCCUACCAAGGCGACGAUCUGUAGCGGGUCUGAGAGGAUGAUCCGCCACACUGGGACGGGGACACGGCACAGGCUCCUACGGGAGGCAGCAGUGGGGAAUAUUGGACAAUGGGGGGAACCCUGAUCCAGCCAUGCCGCGUGUGUGAAGAAGGCCUUAUGGUUGUAAAGCACUUUAAGCGAGGAGGAGGCUACUCUAGUUAAUACCUAGGGAUAGUGGACGUUACUCGCAGAAUAAGCACCGGCUAACUCUGUGCCAGCCGCCGCGGUAA
RNAcentral lists this ribosomal RNA (501 nucleotides) under uncultured bacterium. RNAcentral describes it as "partial 16S ribosomal RNA". It matches the Rfam family "Bacterial small subunit ribosomal RNA", at positions 30 to 523 of the family's 1533-position model. The record is from RNAcentral.